UGUGUGACUAUAAUGCAUAUAAUUGAGUUAAAAUUGUAAAUUAAAUUGUAAUUCUUCAGUUUAAUUCAUUAUGCCUCCUAAAUUAUUUGAUUGUUUAUUGUAAAAUCAACAAAAAUGUUAGAAUAAAUAAAUAAAAUCUGUAGUGGAACGUCACCUGUUAUAUUACAUUCACAUGUCCAUGGCGCUCUCUGAUUGGAUUUUGUGAGAUUUGUCGUCAUGUAGCAGAAGAUAUCAACUAAGUUCGCUUUAGUAAUAUCAUUAAAGGUAGUGUGGUGUAUGAGAAUUAAGUAUUUUCAGUGAAAAUGCAGUAAUUUAAAUAUUCCAUUGAACAAAUACGUCAUUGUAUGCAUAUUUAUAGUAAUAUAAUUUUUAUUGGAGUUUUCCGGAGAUUUUCAGUUUAAAACUAAUUUAAUUUGUUUCUGCUAGGAUAGGAAGUCUUUUUUCCCAGGAUUUCUAAAGGCGAUUAAAGGAAGUUUUAUAAUCGUCAGUUGGAAAGUUUAUGCAGUAGCAUUAUUUUUUUAAUUUUCUUCAUUCAUUUCAGUGAACAAGAUAUGACAAAAGGUCCAGGUGAGAGUCCACCGCGCCGCAGCCGCAAGUCCCAGCAGCCUAUGAGACGUCUGACUCGCAAGUCAGGUAGUCGCCCCUGCGCCGCAUGUUGUGCUUGCUAAACUUGUGAAGAUGUUUAGUGUAAUGGCGGAACAAUCGCCUGACGCUACUCGAGAUAUUGCUCAGGACUUCUUGACUACAGGACGAGCUGGACGGCGAAAUGCUUUGCCAGAUAUCCUUGGGGAACAUGCACUUGUGUCCACC
This 810-nucleotide unclassified non-coding RNA is filed under the name Homalodisca vitripennis (glassy-winged sharpshooter). RNAcentral's name for it is "cAMP-dependent protein kinase inhibitor beta-like, transcript variant X3". Lineage: Eukaryota; Metazoa; Arthropoda; Insecta; Hemiptera; Cicadellidae. The record is from RNAcentral.